RNAcentral lists this ribosomal RNA (422 nucleotides) under bacterium. RNAcentral describes it as "partial 16S ribosomal RNA". It matches the Rfam family "Bacterial small subunit ribosomal RNA", at positions 355 to 776 of the family's 1533-position model. The record is from RNAcentral.
UGGGGAAUUUUGCACAAUGGGCGCAAGCCUGAUGCAGCGACGCCGCGUGAGGGAUGAAGGCCUUCGGGUUGUAAACCUUUUUCGCUCAUGGUCAAGCCGCAGCUUUGGGUUGUGGUGAGGGUAGUGGGUAAAGAAGCGCCGGCUAACUACGUGCCAGCAGCCGCGGUAAUAUGUAGGGCGCGAGCGUUGUCCGGAAUUAUUGGGCGUAAAGGGCUUGUAGGCGGUUGGCCGCGUCUGCCGUGAAAUCCUCUGGCUUAACUGGGGGCAUGCGGUGGGUACGGGUUGACUUGAGUGCGGUAGGGGAGACUGGAAUUCCUGGUGUAGCGGUGGAAUGCGCAGAUAUCAGGAGGAACACCGGUGGCGAAGGCGGGUCUCUGGGCCGUUACUGACGCUGAGGAGCGAAAGCGUGGGGAGCGAACAGG